This 1076-nucleotide ribosomal RNA is filed under the name human gut metagenome. RNAcentral's name for it is "bacterial LSU rRNA". It matches the Rfam family "Bacterial large subunit ribosomal RNA", at positions 815 to 1980 of the family's 2925-position model. The record is from RNAcentral.
GUAGCGGAGAAAUUCCAAUCGAACCCGGAGAUAGCUGGUUCUCCCCGAAAUAGUUUUAGGACUAGCCUCAAGUUAGAUACCUGGAGGUAAAGCACUGAAUAGCCUAGCGGCCGAGAGGUUAGCGAAGCUUAUCAAACUCAGAAUGCCAGAGUAUUGAUGCUUGGGAGUCAGACAGUGUCAGAUAAAUGUCAUUGUCAAAAGGGAAACAGCCCAGAUCUACAGCUAAGGUCCCAAAGUCAGGUUAAGUGGAAAACGAUGUGAAGAUACGCAGACAACCAGGAUGUUGGCUCAGAAGCAGCCACUCAUUCAAAGAGUGCGUAAUAGCUCACUGGUCGAGCGUCUUUGCGCGGAGAAUUUAACGGGGCUAAACCUGACACCGAAGCUUAGGCAAUACAGCAAUGUAUUGGGUAGGGGAGCGUUGUAUACGCGGAGAAACAGUAGCGCAAGCGGCUGUGGAGUGUAUAGAAGUGAGAAUGCCGGAAUGAGUAGCGCGAAUGCAGUGAGAAUCUGCAUGGCCGAAAGCCUCAGGUUUCUGGAGGAAGGUUCGUCCGCUCCAGGUUAGUCGGGAGCUAAGGUGAGGCCGAAAGGCGUAGCCGAUGCACAGACGGUAGAGAUUCCGUCACCACCAAAAGAGUUAAGCACAGGGACACAUUUGAAGUCUCAGAGCCGGGUGUUGGUUCCGGUAGAGAUCGAGGGAAGUUAGUACCGAAGUCUGAGAUGGAAGAUGGCGAGAAAAGCUGUGUGUAUUUCUGAGGUGCCCGUACCGCAAACCGACACAGGUAGGUAGGAAGAAGAUUCUAAGGCCAACGGGAGAAGGGUUGUUAAGGAACUCGGCAAAUUGACCCCGUAACUUCGGGAGAAGGGGUGCUCCAGAGAUGGAGCCGCAGAGAAUCGGCCCAAGCAACUGUUUACCAAAAACACAGGUUUGUGCUAAAUCGAAAGAUGACGUAUACGAGCUGACGCCUGCCCGGUGCUGGAAGGUUAAGAGGAGAUGUGCAAGCAUUGAAUCGAAGCCCCAGUGAACGGCGGCCGUAACUAUAACGGUCCUAAGGUAGCGAAAUUCCUUGUCGGGUAAG